RNAcentral lists this ribosomal RNA (504 nucleotides) under uncultured bacterium. RNAcentral describes it as "partial 16S ribosomal RNA". It matches the Rfam family "Bacterial small subunit ribosomal RNA", at positions 29 to 523 of the family's 1533-position model. The record is from RNAcentral.
AUUGAACGCUGGCGGCAGGCCUAACACAUGCAAGUCGGACGGUAGCACAGAGAGCUUGCUCUUGGGUGACGAGUGGCGGACGGGUGAGUAAUGUCUGGGGAUCUGCCCGAUAGAGGGGGAUAACCACUGGAAACGGUGGCUAAUACCGCAUAACGUCGCAAGACCAAAGAGGGGGACCUUCGGGCCUCUCACUAUCGGAUGAACCCAGAUGGGAUUAGCUAGUAGGCGGGGUAAUGGCCCACCUAGGCGACGAUCCCUAGCUGGUCUGAGAGGAUGACCAGCCACACUGGAACUGAGACACGGUCCAGACUCCUACGGGAGGCAGCAGUGGGGAAUAUUGCACAAUGGGCGCAAGCCUGAUGCAGCCAUGCCGCGUGUAUGAAGAAGGCCUUCGGGUUGUAAAGUACUCUCAGCGGGGAGGAAGGCGGUGAGGUUAAUAACCUCGCCGAUUGACGUUACCCGCAGAAGAAGCACCGGCUAACUCCGUGCCAGCCGCCGCAGUAA